This is a long non-coding RNA of Ailuropoda melanoleuca (giant panda), 604 nucleotides long. RefSeq lists it as uncharacterized. The record is from RefSeq and is a predicted model, not a curated record. The transcript has 3 exons. NCBI's taxonomy places the organism in Eukaryota, Metazoa, Chordata, Mammalia, Carnivora, Ursidae.
UUCUAAAUGGAAUAAAAUGUCGGGCCAACAUGCCACAGAUUCAGCCAAGGACCGUCCCUGCCACUCGGUCCAUGAGGAUUGCUCAGUGUGCUUAGCGGGCAGCGGCCACACACAGUAGCAUGGUUCACAGGUAUGGGACCGAGACAAAUAACAGUUACUCUCGAUGAUGUCUGAACGUCAGUCUGUGGGGCAAGUUAACAAGUCACUGUUUGCUUACAGACUACUAAUCAGCGAUGCUGUUUUCAGCAGUGAAAGGAUGAAGAAAAGAUGCUUAAAACAUCAGAAAUAAGAAUGGAGUGGUGUUCUUCCUUACAGCUGGAACAGCUUUGGAGAGAUACUGGAGUGUUACUGUGUCCACAAUGGUGACAGAAGAGGCACUGAAAAAUUCUCCUAUUAUGACGACUACCAGGAUCACCAGGAAUAUAGCCUCAACUUCUUGUUGAUCGUAAACAAGAGUGACUCGAUCAGAAGUCUAUUUCCUCCUCAGGAAUAGCUGCUGUCUCUGUGGAGGUGGGUGUUUCAUUGGAAGGUGGUUCUGGUUCCCUGGAAAUACCAUUAAAGGGAUCAGCAAGCACAUACUUUCUCUUCUGUUCCUCUUCAUCAU